Molecule: long non-coding RNA, 341 nt
Filed under: Elaeis guineensis (African oil palm)
Lineage: Eukaryota; Viridiplantae; Streptophyta; Magnoliopsida; Arecales; Arecaceae
Description: long non-coding RNA (EGUI_LNC067243)
Source: RNAcentral
ACAUGGGAUGAAAGGGCGCCAACCUUUGGUGCUUCAACUUCUCAUGUGGUGAAUAAAUUUACUGAGUGAAUUUUUAGCAUUCCAAAUACUUGUAGUAGAAGGACUCUCCUUCUUUUAUGUGUCAUAAAAACUUCAACAAAACAUAGGAGAUUUGAUUAGGAAAAUAUGGCAAUGUGUAAAAAUUAAGAGCCUUCAUUAAGAAGGACUCUUCAUUUCAUAUGCCAAAAAUAAGGGGGCAGCAUUUAUAUUUUGCCAUGACUUCUAGUGGGCACAGAGGAGUCCUCCACUUGAAACUGGUUCAAGUUGGAUAAGGAUCCAAUCCAAAUUAACCCAAUCCCAUU